AGUGAACGCUGGCGGUAGGCCUAACACAUGCAAGUCGAACGGCAGCACAGGAGAGCUUGCUCUCUGGGUGGCGAGUGGCGGACGGGUGAGGAAUACAUCGGAAUCUACUCUGUCGUGGGGGAUAACGUAGGGAAACUUACGCUAAUACCGCAUACGACCUACGGGUGAAAGCAGGGGACCUUUGGGCCUUGCGCGAUUGAAUGAGCCGAUGUCGGAUUAGCUAGUUGGCGGGGUAAAGGACAACCAAGGCGACGAUCCGUAGAUGGUCUGAGAGGAUGAUCAGCCACACUGGAACUGAGACACGGUCCAGACUCCUACGGGAGGCAGCAGUGGGGAAUAUUGGACAAUGGGCGCAAGCCUGAUCCAGCCAUACCGCGUGGGUGAAGAAGGCCUUCGGGUUGUAAAGCCCUUUUGUUGGGAAAGAAAUCCAGCUGGCUAAUACCCGGUUGGAUGACGGUACCCAAAGAAUAAGCACCGGCUAACUUCGUGCCAGCCGCCGCCGUAA
RNAcentral lists this ribosomal RNA (505 nucleotides) under uncultured bacterium. RNAcentral's name for it is "partial 16S ribosomal RNA". It matches the Rfam family "Bacterial small subunit ribosomal RNA", at positions 29 to 523 of the family's 1533-position model. The record is from RNAcentral.